CUGUGGGAUAAAAUGGUAAAGUUGGAGCAAAGAAUGAGAGGAGGAGGUGCAGGGUCUAUCGUCCAAUAAAAACGCUCGGCGCUAGUUUUGACCGUGUGUUUUUUCCUCACGCAAGCGUUUGUAUCACAUCGGCGUAUGGCGCCAAUUUGUAAAGGUCAUAAGUCGAGACAUACAUCGAGUCUGUCAAUUUGUCCGGCAGUAAAUUCUGCAGGGCCGUGCCACCUGGCCAUCGAGGCGCCCCCCUACCCGGCCACGCGGGCCAUACAUCGAGUCUGACACUUUUGCCCUCCAGUAAAUUCUGUUUAAAGUUUUGUUUUCACAUACGUCCCAAAUUACAGAUAAUUUUCUUACACAGGCACGAGUAGCAUCAUCAAGGCCGUACCACCUGGUCAUACAUCAAGUCUGACAAUUUCCCCGCCAGUAAAUUCUGUUUAUAGUUUUGUUUGUCAUACAUGACCGUGCAGAUAUGGGGUGACAGAGACAAUUAAAUUGUAUUACGUCGAGCGGGGGGCCUUUUCCUCCUCCUAGAGGCACAACGCCUUACCAAAGUUUGUACCAGCCAAAGAACCACAAGUUUCAUCGAGACCUUACCCGGUAAGUAUAUUAUUUCUUUUAUUCCUGUUAUAAAAAUGCUAUUCAAUUAAAAAUAACAUUCUAAUAAUAGGUAUUCUCUGUUUUUUCUAUGUACAAGAGAGAGAGACUGCGCUGACCGGUCAAGAGAAAAUCUACAAGAGACCUGAAUCAGCAGUGUUAUAAAGCACAUAGCCAACGCUAAUUAAUAAAGAAUUUAAGCAUAAUAGCCCAGACGCCCAUGGCCUAUAGCUGGUAGAAACGGAGCUAUCCUACGGCCUACAAGAUAAAAGCAUAUGGCACCAAAUUGGAAUCAGUAGUCUUUAAAAGAAUAAAUGGACUAGCAACUGUCUCUGGGGGAGCAGCCCCGGUUAGGUACUAUUAAGCAGCAUUUAGUGACAUGCAUCAAAACACAUUUUUUAAAACUUUGACAGAAUAAAGUCUUAGUUAUUUUAAUAAA
Brienomyrus brachyistius is the source of this 1030-nucleotide long non-coding RNA. RefSeq lists it as uncharacterized. The record is from RefSeq and is a predicted model, not a curated record. Lineage: Eukaryota; Metazoa; Chordata; Actinopteri; Osteoglossiformes; Mormyridae. The transcript has 2 exons.